GACGAACGCUGGCGGCGUGCUUAACACAUGCAAGUCGAACGAUGAAGAAGAGAAACGCGAACUUCGGUUCAAAUUUCACUUCGGAUUAGUGGCAGACGGGUGAGUAACGCGUGAGCAACCUACCUCUUACAAAGGGAUAGCCUCGGGAAACCGUGAUUAAUACCAUAUGACACAUUCAUAAGGCAUCUUAAGAAUGUUAAAGCUACGGCGGUAAGAGAUUGGCUCGCGUCCCAUUAGCUAGUUGGUGAGGUAACGGCCCACCAAGGCGACGAUGGGUAACCGGCCUGAGAGGGUGAACGGUCACAUUGGAACUGAGACACGGUCCAAACUCCUACGGGAGGCAGCAGUGGGGAAUAUUGCACAAUGGAGGGAACUCUGAUGCAGCGACGCCGCGUGAGCGAUGAAGGAAUUCGUUUCGUAAAGCUCUGUUCUAUGGGAAGAAAAGGACUGUACCAUAGGAGAAAGCCCCGGCUAAAUACGG
This 481-nucleotide ribosomal RNA is filed under the name uncultured bacterium. RNAcentral describes it as "partial 16S ribosomal RNA". It matches the Rfam family "Bacterial small subunit ribosomal RNA", at positions 28 to 506 of the family's 1533-position model. The record is from RNAcentral.